Long non-coding RNA from Patella vulgata (common limpet), 760 nucleotides. RefSeq lists it as uncharacterized. The transcript has 3 exons. Lineage: Eukaryota; Metazoa; Mollusca; Gastropoda; Patellidae. The record is from RefSeq and is a predicted model, not a curated record.
UGCGCACCCGAAAUCACUCCUAUUUGCAGCGAAGUCACACAGAAGGUCCACAGUGGUAACAUGGAAUUGAUACUCUAGAUGUCACUUUUAGUUAUUACUGUUGUUUGGAAGAUUGUCGUCUGCUAAUUAAUGUUGGAGCAACAUUUGAAAAAAGCUUGAAAAUUCAAGAUGUUUGUUUGGUGCUGAGAUUUAAAUGAUGAUGCUUUACGAUGUUUAAAGAUUCCUCUUCUAAAGAUAAAUCAAGUUGGGAGAGAAUUGGUUGUGGUAAUAACUUAAUCGUCCUGCGCAUAGAUAACUAUCCAAGAGAAAUGUUUGUGAUGUCGUCAACUUGCAGGAGUUGUCAACAGUUCCACAAUAAGAUGUUUUUUUUGGAAGGAGACCUGUCAUGUUUUUUCACAGAAAACUGACUACUAACUCCACAGAUUGGAAAAAAAAAGACCAAAGCAAGAUGACCUUUGACAUUGAAAUACAGAGAAGCAAAUGGUUUAAUUUACAGAAAUUAAGAAGUAAACUUUUGGUACAAAAUUAAAAUAUUUUAGGCUUGAUUUAAAGAUACACUCCCACUUGAAGAUACAUUCCCACUUGAAGAUUAUAGGUUAAGUUAAUGUUAAUCUGGUGUUCAUGACUUGGUGCUUUAAGUUUCUGUUAUCCUAACAGACGGCAGGAGAACUCACACAGUUUUUGUGGGAAGGCAUCUUUAAUCUGGCGUUCAUGACUAUGUGUUAAGUUUCUAUCACAACUGUUGUCAAUAGAAUUCAAA